ACACUCCUGCGGGAGGCAGCGGUGGGGAAUAUCGCACAAUGGGCGCAAGCCUGAUGCAGCCAUGCCGCGUGUAUGAAGAAGGCCUUCGGGUUGUAAAGUACUUUCAGCGGGGAGGAAGGCGAUAAGGUUAAUAACCUUGUCGAUUGACGUUACCCGCAGAAGAAGCACCGGCUAACUCCGUGCCAGCAGCCGCGGUAAUACGGAGGGUGCAAGCGUUAAUCGGAAUUACUGGGCGUAAAGCGCACGCAGGCGGUCUGUCAAGUCGGAUGUGAAAUCCCCGGGCUCAACCUGGGAACUGCAUUCGAAACUGGCAGGCUAGAGUCUUGUAGAGGGGGGUAGAAUUCCAGGUGUAGCGGUGAAAUGCGUAGAGAUCUGGAGGAAUACCGGUGGCGAAGGCGGCCCCCUGGACAAAGACUGACGCUCAGGUGCGAAAGCGUGGGGAGCAAACAGGAUUAGAAACCCCUGUAGUCCC
This 472-nucleotide ribosomal RNA is filed under the name uncultured organism. RNAcentral describes it as "partial 16S ribosomal RNA". It matches the Rfam family "Bacterial small subunit ribosomal RNA", at positions 333 to 797 of the family's 1533-position model. The record is from RNAcentral.